Long non-coding RNA from Chroicocephalus ridibundus (black-headed gull), 535 nucleotides. RefSeq lists it as uncharacterized. The transcript is spliced from 3 exons. NCBI's taxonomy places the organism in Eukaryota, Metazoa, Chordata, Aves, Charadriiformes, Laridae. The record is from RefSeq and is a predicted model, not a curated record.
GUGGGAGGCAGCCUGCUUCCCACCGCAGCUGGGAAGGGACUUUGGAAAAAUUCCUGCCAGAUGCGUUACGAUGGACUUCAUUGCUCAGAGGGAAAAUCUGCAAGCAGGGUCCUCUGCUGGAGUCCUGCUUAACCAGGUACAACCCAUUGCAUGAGAACAAGAAGAUUAUGGCAGCUGGGACUUGAGGCAGAAAGUUAAGGUUUAUCCUUAUUUCGUGAACCAUCAGGUCAGAACAUGAAAGAAUGAACAUCCACAAUGGAGAUUACUUCCUGAAGAAAGCCAUGUGUAUUUUUGUGACGCUCAUGAAGUUACAGAUGUUCAUUUCCAGCAUUGUAAUUUGCAGAAGCCUCAUUACCUGACGUAGACCAUGGAGAUGACACUCCCUUUAAAGGCAUAUUAGUGAUUUUUUUCAUUUUCUGCAUCAGGUUAGACAUGCUUGUUGGUCAUAACGGCUGGAAAUGUGCAUACUUCCUAAUGUUCGGAGUUUCUAUAUGCAAUGGUACGUAUAGCAUAAAAAUCAUAAAUAAAGAACAGA